This is a non-coding RNA of Nicotiana tabacum (common tobacco), 671 nucleotides long. Lineage: Eukaryota; Viridiplantae; Streptophyta; Magnoliopsida; Solanales; Solanaceae. The record is from RefSeq and is a predicted model, not a curated record.
UGCAUUGCAAAUAAAUUAGUUUGUGUUCCUCUAUUUUUAAUUGUUUAUUACACACUUUUGCUUUGUAACUUGACCUUUGACAAAAUUAUUCAGUUUACACUGCUUCUUCUACUGUAGUGACAUUUUAGUGGUUACUAAAUAGAAGUCAUUGUAGAGCGACGAAAAAGAUUUACUUUUAGCGCGCCUAUAUAUGUAUUUGCAAUUAAUUAGCUUUCUAAGUAGUUCAAUUGAUUAGUAUUCAUUCAUUGACUUGAAUGCUUUUUCUGUUUCAAAUCCUCUCGCCCAUAAAUUUUUAUUGAGUCAAUUUUGUGCAAAUCUCGAAUACAUUUGAUCUUCUUGCUCCAUUUGUACUGCACACUGAUUGCCCUCAUUAUUGGCGCUAUCAUCUAUCAGGUGAGACGGAGGAGGAGUUCUCAACCAGGUUGGCUAAAAAUCUAGAAGAUCUUAUCCUCAAAGAGGGGCCUGAAACAAUAACUGCUUUCAUUGCUGAACCAAUCAUGGGGGCAAGUGGUGUCAUACCUCCUCCAGCAACUUAUUUUGACAAGGUAGUUUUUCUUUUGCCCUUUUGACAAGUUGGUGAUAAUUCGUAUGUAGAAUGCAAUAUAAAAGAUCUUGUGCAACAUUCUUGAGCAAAGGCUCAAAAGAAAGGAACUAAAGAAAUAUUUGGAGUA